UGGUAAUAUAUGAUUUUAAAAAAGGAUAAAAUAAAAAUUCCGAUACAAAAAUAAUAUAUAGAAAGGAUAAAAUAUCGGAACCGAUGAAAAAAGUCAAAAGGUGUCGACAAAAAAAAAAAGUCAAAAGGUUAACGACAAGAUUUAUAAAAAAAAAUUUCAAAAGGCAAAAAUGAAAAAUGAUUUUUUUUAUUUACUGACAAAACGAACCUUCCUUCAGAACUAGAGUCUCCUUCCUACUCUCUUCAAAACGAACUCGCCGUAGUAUUCGAACUACUCGCCGUCGUUUUAUCAGUCUCCGGCGAUAACGGCGGAGGAACACCAUGCUUCAACAAUCCAACAUCAUCACCACCGUUCACAUCAAUCUCCACAACCACAUCCUUCGAAUCACUUAUCCCAUCCUUCUGAAUCACUCUCAAAACCUCAACGAUCUCAUCCAUCGAUGGCCGUACGUCUCUCUCCUGUUGCAAACAUCGGAAUGCUAAUUCAGCAACCGACGACAUCAUCUUCUUCACCGAAGGAUCUCUCGCGAAUCCGAGUGAUAGAUCCGCGAGCUCAUGUACGGCGUCGUUUUGGAUUUUCGAAAUCGCCAUGUUGGCGAGGUUAAUAUCGUGGCGGUGUCUGGUGAUAUCAACAGCUUCUUUCGAUGAGAUUAGUUCGGAGAGUACGACUCCGAAGCUGUAAACGUCACUCUUCUCGUUUAAUCGGUAACAUUGGUAAUACUCAGGAUCUACAUAUCCUGGAGUACCUUGUGGAGCAGUGGAGAUGUGAGUUUGAUCCAUCGGAAACAACCGUGAGAGUCCGAAAUCAGCUACUUUGACUUGUAUGUGUUACCUGAGGCGUGGAGAUAGGACAAGGCGCUAGCGGUUUCGAUGGCUAUUUGGAGUCGAGCAGGCCAACAAAUAGGGCGAGAUUGUGCUUGGUUUCCAUGGAGAUGUUCAGCGAGUGUGCCAUUGGAGAUGUAUUCGUAUACUAGGAGUAACUCUCUGCUAUGUCUUGUUGUGCAUCCGUAUAGAAUCACUAGGUUCGGGUGUUUUAGGGAUUUCAAGAUAUCGAUUUCGUUCUUGAAUUGUUCCACGCGUUUUAGUGAUCUUUCGAAGAGUCGUUUCACAGCUACUGCUCGUCCGUCUUUUAGUGUACCGUAGUAGACAGUACCGAAGCCUCCAUCUCCGAGUUCUUUGGAGAAAUUUUCAGUGGCUUCCUCGAGUUCUUCGUAGCUGAAGACUUGAAUUCCAGAGUAGACGCUUCCGUUUCCAAGGUUAGAUAUUGAAGGUACAAGAGAGUGAUUGCUGCCAGAGAUUGUUGUGGAGGUUGGAGUGUUUGACAUUGUAUAAUUGCUUGAGUAAGGUGUUGUUGUUGAUAGGCCUUUGUUUGUGUAUUGUGUUGCUAGUUUCUUCCUUCUCCGGAUGAAGAUACAGAGUAAACAUCCGCCGAUAAGUGUGGCACCCAAGAAUCCAGAAGCGAAUCCGAUGCCUAGAGAUAAACGGAAAGACAAGAUGUUCGUAUUAUGAUGCGGUUACGUAGGUAUGUUCUACUGAAAUUAGUUUCCUUGAAAGGAAAAAGGAUGGACACAUACCUAUUUUCCCUUUUUUGGAGAGACCUGCAUGAGCUACCAUGAGAAUAAUAUCAGUUAAAAUUUAAGACAGAAUUUUAGAAUGGUGCAUAAAACAUAGUUUGAAAGUCAAGAGAGUUUCUGAGGAAGAUAAGAGAUCUGGUUCUUAUGGAAGGACAUUAGCCAAUUAGAUUCAGAGACGAAUUUAGGAUCAGAUUAACUUAGGUCAGCUAAAGUAUUCAGUAAAGCAGAUAAAGAUGAAUCAUUACUCUUCUUUACUAUUUCAGAAUAGCAAGUACUCUCGUGAGGCUCAUCCGCACAAUAGCAAACAAAUGCUUUCAAUCUCUGAUCAAAGCCACAAGCGCCCCCUGAUAUUGCGCAUUGGGAACAUUCAUUGUUGAAGCCAAGUUCGAAACCCUCAUCAAUAGCCUUCUUCAUAGCCUCCAGACUCUGAUUUUUCUCUACUGUCUUCAAGGCUGACCGAGAGACUGGAAUAUCGACCCCUUCGCACGAUGCACUCAAUGCAGCUAAGGUAGCUCUAUCCCCAGAAUGUGAAGAGGACGAGACAAAGUAACUUUUCCCACCGAUAUAAUCCUCACAGUUAAGCUGUUUAAUGUAAUCAUUGGGAUGUACAUCUACCGUUGAUUGGCAGUCGUGAUAAAAAGUUGACAGCUUGGUGUCGGGAGAAAAUGGAAGGACAUCAUGGUUGAUAGAUGCAUUCGCAGGAUGCUGAGGACAAAGAUUGUUGCGAUAAUCCAUUCUGGCUAGUCUUAUGAUUUCAAACUCAUAGUUCAUCUCAAGGAUUUGGAACUUAACUGUGGAUACAGUAAGCUCUGCAAAAUCUCCGCUGCAGUUGACCUCGAAAUCUGGGUGACCGCACUCUUUUCUCUCAGAUAUCCAAAAGGGAUAAUAGAGUUCUGACUGGUUUCCGCAUUUAAACCUAGGACUGCAGUGUUUGUGUUGCUCAUCAACAACUGAGAAAACACAAGAGGGGAUCACAAAGAGCAUCCAUAUGAUUGUAUUGGACCAAGAUUUUGUCAGAGACAGAGAAAGAUUGAUCAUGGUGAUCUCCUCUGUUUGUUUUUUUUUUUUUUCUUGGAGAUGAACAAGAAAAUGAAGACAAAGAAUAAGAGGAUGACCUAAACAAGUGCCGGCACAAGAACUUUACUUGGAAAAGCCAGGCAAAGUAGAAAAGGAGAUAAAACUAGACUAUAGAAGAAAAUCUCCAAAGGGGUUAAAAAUCGACUAUGAAGAAAGACUUGACCGUUGUUGGCCCUUCUUUUACUCUCAACUUUCUUAUUCAGUUUCAGAUAAAUGUGAAGGCAUCAAAUGGUAUGUGGACAGAAUGAAGACUGGAACAAGAAAAAGAUUCUUUAGUAUUUACCUCGGAAACUGAACGAUGUUGAUAAAGAUGACAGAAUCUGGUAAGGAAGACUUCCAUACCCUGAAAAUGACUUAUUUGAAUUGAAAUUGUGUAUGUCUAGUUGCUGGAAACAGAUAAAGACUUUUUAGACCACUCAAGUUUCUACCUUCUCUCUUGAGCUCACUAGGGACUAAGGUAUAUCUUAACACUGCUAAAACUGACCGAGAGAUACUGGAAAAAAAGAAAACUGUGUGACUUGGUUAGAGACAUUGCAGAAAAUGGUUUUGUUUUGUAUAAUUUAGAACACCAAAGUAUGAGCUGCGGUUCUUGGUGAUUAGCAUGUUCUAUAUGCUUGGGGCUUACCAAUUUUUGCAACCUAGGGGAUAAUAGUUGUGGUAUGUGUCAUAGCAGAACUUAUAGAGGAUGUGGAUCGACAUGUCUAUUUUUGCCUGGUUGCACUGUGGUAAUACUGCCCAAAUUUGGCAAGUGGGAAAUGUAUAUGUUAUGCUUAUGAAAUUUGCUGAUAGUUCAGAAACAUACCACUAGAUCCAGAUGGCAUCAUUGGAGUGCAAUUGACUUCUGAUGACGAGUUUGUCUUGCAGCAAACCGGAGUUGCAACAUGGUAGGCGCAGAUUCCACCAUUGGUUUUACAUUCUUGACACGGUCUCUCAUCGAUGCUAAGUUUCACCUCAAAUCCUUUUUUAAGAACACUUUCCAAAUUGGUUACAUUCAAAGCUCCUUCCUCUGGAGCAUAACCUAUGGGAACAGUGAUGUUGAAAAUCCCACCACAGUGAUUGUGAUACAAAUCAUCCUGAUGUAUUGAGCCAACACCCUUAUUUGGACAUAUGAAUUUCGCAGGAUAGUGAAGACUAGGGUUGCAGAGGUAGUAAGCGGAGAGGGUCUUGUAGUCUGGCAAAAGCUCAAAAAGUUCAGGAGUCAACGUUGCUCCGCUGAAUGAAGCCGAGCAGAAUGGACCUGAAAAGUCUUGCCUUACUAAUUUAAGAGUACUAGUAGUGGUAUUUACUUCGAGAACACGGUACAUCAGACUUGAGAUGAUUAGAGAAGUCGAAUUUGUUUGUUUUUGGCAGUGAAGUCCUAAAGAUGGAUGACCACAAGGUUGGGGCCGAGCCACUCCCCAGAAAGGGAAACCGGCUGUGAGAUCCCCACAACGAAACAGAGUGUCACAUGGUUCUCGUUGACUUUGAGCACAAGGAAGAAAGUGAAUAUAGGAUAAGAAGAAGAGAAGGACCAGAAAAGAAUUAGGUUUUGAGAAUCUGAAGAGUACUGGAGAGAACAUGAUUGAUAUCUGGAAAGUAGUUUCUUUUUUGGUUUGUGUUUAAAGUAGAGUAGAUGAUAAAUGAUUAAACAAAAAAAAACCAAGUGGAGACAGAAAAGAGCUAGUGGAAUGGUCGAACCACGACUAAGUCAAUAUUGAGAAGGACAGAUACUCAUAGACUUGGAGAACUAAAUGACACGUCUUUGGUUAGUUGACUUUGGAAGACUUUUCUCGUUUUAUUUGUAAGUCAUUCACUGUGGAAAAUCUUGUUAACGUAUAAGAAAAACUAUUUCAGAGUUCAGAAAAAUCUUUCUUAGGAAGAAAAGUGAUAAAAUAGGGUUCGUAAUUGUAAU
This 4541-nucleotide long non-coding RNA is filed under the name Arabidopsis thaliana (thale cress). RNAcentral's name for it is "potential natural antisense gene, locus overlaps with AT5G38210 (AT5G38212)". Lineage: Eukaryota; Viridiplantae; Streptophyta; Magnoliopsida; Brassicales; Brassicaceae. The record is from RNAcentral.